UCCAGACUCCUACGGGAGGCAGCAGUGGGGAAUAUUGCACAAUGGGGGAAACCCUGAUGCAGCGACGCCGCGUGAGUGAAGAAGUAUUUCGGUAUGUAAAGCUCUAUCAGCAGGGAAGAAAAUGACGGUACCUGAUUAAGAAGCCCCGGCUAACUACGUGCCAGCAGCCGCGGUAAUACGUAGGGGGCAAGCGUUAUCCGGAUUUACUGGGUGUAAAGGGUGCGCAGGUGGCAGGGCAAGUCAGAUGUGAAAGCCCGGGGCUCAACCCCGGUAUUGCAUUUGAAACUGUCCGGCUAGAGUGCAGGAGAGGUAAGCGGAAUUCCUAGUGUAGCGGUGAAAUGCGUAGAUAUUAGGAGGAACACCAGUGGCGAAGGCGGCUUACUGGACUGUAACUGACACUGAGGCACGAAAGCGUGGGGAGCAAACAGGAUUAGAUACCCGCGUACC
Molecule: ribosomal RNA, 447 nt
Filed under: uncultured bacterium
Lineage: Bacteria
Description: bacterial SSU rRNA
Rfam family: Bacterial small subunit ribosomal RNA
Source: RNAcentral